UGCAGAGGCAGGCUACAAAACUAAUAAAAGGAAUGGAACAUAUCGGCUAUGAAGAAAAGUUAACAAAUUUAAACCUAUUUAGUUUAGAAAAACGUUGCAUGAGAGGGGAUAUGAUAACAUUAUACAAAUAUAUUCGGGGCCAAUACAAACCAUUGUGUGGAAAUCUAUUCACAAACCGGACUUUACAUAGGACAGGAAGCCAUGCGUUUAGACUGGAAGAAAGAAGAUUUCGUCUAAGGCAAAGGAAAG
Molecule: non-coding RNA, 249 nt
Organism: Pelobates cultripes (western spadefoot toad)
Lineage: Eukaryota; Metazoa; Chordata; Amphibia; Anura; Pelobatidae
Source: the annotation of a GenBank genome assembly